CCCACUACUGCCUGUCGUCUUCACUUCCUCCGUUGCUCACCCCGCUAACCCUCAGCCCUCGAUCUCAUCUUUGCGUCUUUUCGGCUCAUAAUCAUCGCGCUGCCAUGAGGUUCAUAGCAUCCAGCAUCCUGCUGCUACUGCUGCUGCUAUGUGUUGUGGCCGAGUCGGAGGGUUCAAGAAACACACCGUGUACCCCAGUGGAUCCUGACGUUCCCUGCGACCGUUUCGCCGAUGAGUGCUCCCUGCACCGACCAACGGCUUCGUGUCCUUAUGGCACUUAUUGCUGUCACGGACCAUGUGGUAACGUGUGUGUCCGGCAGUUGCGUUAGUAACGGAGGUCUCAGGAGCGGCGGUGACUCCUGAAGUGACAAGAAGCCAUCCUGAGCUGCCGCCGCUAACGUUGCUCCACACUGCAGGCAACAGAGGUGGUUCACCACACAAGGUUUCAUAAGCUUGAUGACACGCAAGACAUGACAUGUAAAGAAUACAUUGAGGUGCUAGUUGGUUUCGCGUUAGGGUGGUGGACACUAGGCCGAAAGGCUGUUACAUCAAUCCCUGCGUGUGGCAGCUGUUUUGGACAGAAGAAUGGCGCCCCUCAUGCCCCUUGCUAGCCACCGCUACAGUGGUAAACACACACACACACACACACACACACACACUUUCCGCCGUUCGGCCUAUGAAUCUAAGUUACUCUGGCUUACGCUGUCUUAUACUAUCGGAGCGUCUCCCAUUCUUUUUUUCCUUGCGCUUUAGCUUAGCAAGUGAGGGCUCCUUGGCUCAGAACUUCUUUAUUAAGUAUUUCUUUACAAAAGGCACGCGCUUACUCGUCCCACGGACCUGAUACUCUGUCUACCUAUAAUGCAAAUAAAUGACUGACUGAGA
Long non-coding RNA from Scylla paramamosain (green mud crab), 882 nucleotides. RefSeq lists it as uncharacterized. NCBI's taxonomy places the organism in Eukaryota, Metazoa, Arthropoda, Malacostraca, Decapoda, Portunidae. The transcript has 4 exons. The record is from RefSeq and is a predicted model, not a curated record.